Molecule: ribosomal RNA, 397 nt
Filed under: uncultured beta proteobacterium
Lineage: Bacteria; Pseudomonadati; Pseudomonadota; Betaproteobacteria
Description: bacterial SSU rRNA
Rfam family: Bacterial small subunit ribosomal RNA
Source: RNAcentral
AAGGCUUACCAAGGCGACGAUCAGUAGCUGGUCUGAGAGGACGACCAGCCACACUGGGACUGAGACACGGCCCAGACUCCUACGGGAGGCAGCAGUGGGGAAUUUUGGACAAUGGGGGAAACCCUGAUCCAGCCAUGCCGCGUGAGUGAAGAAGGCCUUCGGGUUGUAAAGCUCUUUCAGCCGGAACGAAACGGUCACGGCUAAUACCUGUGACUACUGACGGUACCGGAAGAAGAAGCACCGGCUAACUACGUGCCAGCAGCCGCGGUAAUUCUUAGGGUGCGAGCGUUAAUCGGAAUUACUGGGCGUAAAGCGUGCGCAGGCGGUUCUGUAAGUCAGAUGUGAAAUCCCCGGGCUUAACCUGGGAACUGCGUUUGAAACUACAAGGCUAGAAGGG